AUUUUUGGAUGGCCACACGUCACGUCGGAGAUAUCCUUAGUGCCCUCCGGCACUAGAAAAAGGACACUGGUCUGUUCCCACCCUGUACAGGCUGCUGAUGGCUUCUGGAUACUGGGCUAAGAGGAGAGGACAGGCUGCUGAUGGCUUCUGGAUACUGGGCUGAGAGGAGAGGACAGGCUGCUGAUGGCUUCUGGAUACUGGGCUGAGAGGACAGGCUUCUGGAUACUGGGCUGAGAGGACAGGCUUCUGGAUACUGGGCUGAGAGGAGAGGACAGGCUGCUGAUGGCUUCUGGAUACUGGGCUGAGAGGACAGGCUUCUGGAUACUGGGCUGAGAGGACAGGCUUCUGGAUACUGGGCUGAGAGGACAGGCUUCUGGAUACUGGGCUGAGAGGACAGGCUUCUGGAUACUGGGCUGAGAGGACAGGCUUCUGGAUACUGGGCUGAGAGGACAGGCUGCUGGUGUGACAAGGAGAGCAGCAGUGAACAAGCCUAUUUUCAGACUGUAGAGGAGCAUUUCAACAUUCUGAAUGAGUGAAGAUAAUCUGGAGGUGAUUCAAACUGCUGUACUGUCUGUUUAGACUCUGACUAGACUAUGGUGACAGCUCUGCCCACUGACUGUCUCAAUAACUCUGAUGAUGUGUAACACCUUGGGUAGAAUAAAGUCUGUUUCUCCAC
Oncorhynchus kisutch (coho salmon) is the source of this 676-nucleotide long non-coding RNA. RefSeq lists it as uncharacterized. Lineage: Eukaryota; Metazoa; Chordata; Actinopteri; Salmoniformes; Salmonidae. The transcript has 2 exons. The record is from RefSeq and is a predicted model, not a curated record.